This 468-nucleotide ribosomal RNA is filed under the name uncultured bacterium. RNAcentral describes it as "partial 16S ribosomal RNA". It matches the Rfam family "Bacterial small subunit ribosomal RNA", at positions 28 to 507 of the family's 1533-position model. The record is from RNAcentral.
GACGAACGCUGGCAGCGUGCUUAACACAUGCAAGUCGAACGGAAAGGCCCUGCUCUUGUGGGGUGCUCGAGUGGCGAACGGGUGAGUAACACGUGAGUAACCUGCCCUUGACUUUGGGAUAACUUCAGGAAACUGGGGCUAAUACCGGAUAGGAGCUCCUGCUGCAUGGUGGGGGUUGGAAAGUUUCGGCGGUUGGGGAUGGACUCGCGGCUUAUCAGCUUGUUGGUGGGGUAGUGGCUUACCAAGGCUUUGACGGGUAGCCGGCCUGAGAGGGUGACCGGCCACAUUGGGACUGAGAUACGGCCCAGACUCCUACGGGAGGCAGCAGUGGGGAAUAUUGCACAAUGGGCGGAAGCCUGAUGCAGCAACGCCGCGUGCGGGAUGACGGCCUUCGGGUUGUAAACCGCUUUCGCCUGUGACGAAGCGUGAGUGACGGUAAUGGGUAAAGAAGCACCGGCUAACUACGUG